UACGAACUGUGCGAACGUUAUUCGGAAUCACUGGGCUUACAGGGUGCGUAGGCGGCUUGUUAAGUAGGGUGUGAAAGCCCCCGGCUCAACCGGGGAAUUGCGCCCUAAACUGGCGAGCUGGAGUGAGAUAGGGGUGUGUGGAACUUCCGGUGGAGCGGUGAAAUGUGUUGAUAUCGGAAGGAACGCCGGUGGCGAAGGCGGUCUCCUGGGGCAUUCUUGACGCUGAGGCGCGAAAGCUAGGGGAGCAAACGGG
Molecule: ribosomal RNA, 253 nt
Filed under: uncultured bacterium
Lineage: Bacteria
Description: partial 16S ribosomal RNA
Rfam family: Bacterial small subunit ribosomal RNA
Source: RNAcentral